Molecule: unclassified non-coding RNA, 204 nt
Filed under: uncultured Hydnodontaceae
Lineage: Eukaryota; Fungi; Basidiomycota; Agaricomycetes; Trechisporales; Hydnodontaceae
Description: sequence contains ITS2
Source: RNAcentral
AAUCAUCAAACCCCUCCGGUUUCUGCCGGAGUGGGUUUGGACUUGGGGGCUUUUGCUGCCUUCUGGCGGCUCCCCUUAAACGAAUCGGUCGGGCUUUCGCGUGGCUUGUCCCUUGGCGUCGUAUCAACCUCGUCGCUGGAUGGCUCGCGAGUUUUGCGCCCCUCCAAGACCAGCCUCUGGAGCGGCGGUCAACUUCAAUUUUUG